AGCGAACGCUGGCGGCAGGCCUAACACAUGCAAGUCGAACGAACCUUUCGGGGUUAGUGGCGGACGGGUGAGUAACACGUGGGAACGUGCCUUUAGGUUCGGAAUAACUCAGGGAAACUUGUGCUAAUACCGAAUGUGCCCUUCGGGGGAAAGAUUAAUCGCCUUUAGAGCGGCCCGCGUCUGUUUAGCUAGUUGGUUGAGGUAAUGGCUCACCAAGGCGACGAUCAGUAGCUGGUCUGAGAGGAUGAUCAGCCACAUUGGGACUGAGACACGGCCCAAACUCCUACGGGAGGCAGCAGUGGGGAAUCUUGCGCAAUGGGCGAAAGCCUGACGCAGCCAGGCCGCGUGAAUGAUGAAGGUCUUAGGAUUGUAAAAUUCUUUCACCGGGGACGAUAAUGACGGUACCCGGAGAAGAAGCCCCGGCUAACUUCGUG
This 434-nucleotide ribosomal RNA is filed under the name uncultured bacterium. Its description in RNAcentral is "partial 16S ribosomal RNA". It matches the Rfam family "Bacterial small subunit ribosomal RNA", at positions 29 to 507 of the family's 1533-position model. The record is from RNAcentral.